UACGUAGGGCGCAAGCGUUAUCCGGAAUUAUUGGGCGUAAAGAGCUCGUAGGCGGUUUGUCGCGUCUGCCGUGAAAGUCCGGGGCUCAACUCCGGAUCUGCGGUGGGUACGGGCAGACUAGAGGUAUGCAGGGGAGAACGGAAUUCCUGGUGUAGCGGUGAAAUGCGCAGAUAUCAGGAGGAACACCGGUGGCGAAGGCGGUUCUCUGGACAGUUCCUGACACUGAGACACGAAGGCCAGGGGAGCAAACGGG
This 253-nucleotide ribosomal RNA is filed under the name uncultured bacterium. RNAcentral describes it as "partial 16S ribosomal RNA". It matches the Rfam family "Bacterial small subunit ribosomal RNA", at positions 524 to 776 of the family's 1533-position model. The record is from RNAcentral.